This 2834-nucleotide ribosomal RNA is filed under the name Staphylococcus aureus. Its description in RNAcentral is "LSU rRNA". It matches the Rfam family "Bacterial large subunit ribosomal RNA". The record is from RNAcentral. Lineage: Bacteria; Bacillati; Bacillota; Bacilli; Caryophanales; Staphylococcaceae.
GAUUAAGUUAUUAAGGGCGCACGGUGGAUGCCUUGGCACUAGAAGCCGAUGAAGGACGUUACUAACGACGAUAUGCUUUGGGGAGCUGUAAGUAAGCUUUGAUCCAGAGAUUUCCGAAUGGGGAAACCCAGCAUGAGUUAUGUCAUGUUAUCGAUAUGUGAAUACAUAGCAUAUCAGAAGGCACACCCGGAGAACUGAAACAUCUUAGUACCCGGAGGAAGAGAAAGAAAAUUCGAUUCCCUUAGUAGCGGCGAGCGAAACGGGAAGAGCCCAAACCAACAAGCUUGCUUGUUGGGGUUGUAGGACACUCUAUACGGAGUUACAAAGGACGACAUUAGACGAAUCAUCUGGAAAGAUGAAUCAAAGAAGGUAAUAAUCCUGUAGUCGAAAAUGUUGUCUCUCUUGAGUGGAUCCUGAGUACGACGGAGCACGUGAAAUUCCGUCGGAAUCUGGGAGGACCAUCUCCUAAGGCUAAAUACUCUCUAGUGACCGAUAGUGAACCAGUACCGUGAGGGAAAGGUGAAAAGCACCCCGGAAGGGGAGUGAAAUAGAACCUGAAACCGUGUGCUUACAAGUAGUCAGAGCCCGUUAAUGGGUGAUGGCGUGCCUUUUGUAGAAUGAACCGGCGAGUUACGAUUUGAUGCAAGGUUAAGCAGUAAAUGUGGAGCCGUAGCGAAAGCGAGUCUGAAUAGGGCGUUUAGUAUUUGGUCGUAGACCCGAAACCAGGUGAUCUACCCUUGGUCAGGUUGAAGUUCAGGUAACACUGAAUGGAGGACCGAACCGACUUACGUUGAAAAGUGAGCGGAUGAACUGAGGGUAGCGGAGAAAUUCCAAUCGAACCUGGAGAUAGCUGGUUCUCUCCGAAAUAGCUUUAGGGCUAGCCUCAAGUGAUGAUUAUUGGAGGUAGAGCACUGUUUGGACGAGGGGCCCCUCUCGGGUUACCGAAUUCAGACAAACUCCGAAUGCCAAUUAAUUUAACUUGGGAGUCAGAACAUGGGUGAUAAGGUCCGUGUUCGAAAGGGAAACAGCCCAGACCACCAGCUAAGGUCCCAAAAUAUAUGUUAAGUGGAAAAGGAUGUGGCGUUGCCCAGACAACUAGGAUGUUGGCUUAGAAGCAGCCAUCAUUUAAAAGAGUGCGUAAUAGCUCACUAGUCGAGUGACACUGCGCCGAAAAUGUACCGGGGCUAAACAUAUUACCGAAGCUGUGGAUUGUCCUUUGGACAAUGGUAGGAGAGCGUUCUAAGGGCGUUGAAGCAUGAUCGUAAGGACAUGUGGAGCGCUUAGAAGUGAGAAUGCCGGUGUGAGUAGCGAAAGACGGGUGAGAAUCCCGUCCACCGAUUGACUAAGGUUUCCAGAGGAAGGCUCGUCCGCUCUGGGUUAGUCGGGUCCUAAGCUGAGGCCGACAGGCGUAGGCGAUGGAUAACAGGUUGAUAUUCCUGUACCACCUAUAAUCGUUUUAAUCGAUGGGGGGACGCAGUAGGAUAGGCGAAGCGUGCGAUUGGAUUGCACGUCUAAGCAGUAAGGCUGAGUAUUAGGCAAAUCCGGUACUCGUUAAGGCUGAGCUGUGAUGGGGAGAAGACAUUGUGUCUUCGAGUCGUUGAUUUCACACUGCCGAGAAAAGCCUCUAGAUAGAAAAUAGGUGCCCGUACCGCAAACCGACACAGGUAGUCAAGAUGAGAAUUCUAAGGUGAGCGAGCGAACUCUCGUUAAGGAACUCGGCAAAAUGACCCCGUAACUUCGGGAGAAGGGGUGCUCUUUAGGGUUAACGCCCAGAAGAGCCGCAGUGAAUAGGCCCAAGCGACUGUUUAUCAAAAACACAGGUCUCUGCUAAACCGUAAGGUGAUGUAUAGGGGCUGACGCCUGCCCGGUGCUGGAAGGUUAAGAGGAGUGGUUAGCUUCUGCGAAGCUACGAAUCGAAGCCCCAGUAAACGGCGGCCGUAACUAUAACGGUCCUAAGGUAGCGAAAUUCCUUGUCGGGUAAGUUCCGACCCGCACGAAAGGCGUAACGAUUUGGGCACUGUCUCAACGAGAGACUCGGUGAAAUCAUAGUACCUGUGAAGAUGCAGGUUACCCGCGACAGGACGGAAAGACCCCGUGGAGCUUUACUGUAGCCUGAUAUUGAAAUUCGGCACAGCUUGUACAGGAUAGGUAGGAGCCUUUGAAACGUGAGCGCUAGCUUACGUGGAGGCGCUGGUGGGAUACUACCCUAGCUGUGUUGGCUUUCUAACCCGCACCACUUAUCGUGGUGGGAGACAGUGUCAGGCGGGCAGUUUGACUGGGGCGGUCGCCUCCUAAAAGGUAACGGAGGCGCUCAAAGGUUCCCUCAGAAUGGUUGGAAAUCAUUCAUAGAGUGUAAAGGCAUAAGGGAGCUUGACUGCGAGACCUACAAGUCGAGCAGGGUCGAAAGACGGACUUAGUGAUCCGGUGGUUCCGCAUGGAAGGGCCAUCGCUCAACGGAUAAAAGCUACCCCGGGGAUAACAGGCUUAUCUCCCCCAAGAGUUCACAUCGACGGGAGGUUUGGCACCUCGAUGUCGGCUCAUCGCAUCCUGGGGCUGUAGUCGGUCCCAAGGGUUGGGCUGUUCGCCCAUUAAAGCGGUACGCGAGCUGGGUUCAGAACGUCGUGAGACAGUUCGGUCCCUAUCCGUCGUGGGCGUAGGAAAUUUGAGAGGAGCUGUCCUUAGUACGAGAGGACCGGGAUGGACAUACCUCUGGUGUACCAGUUGUCGUGCCAACGGCAUAGCUGGGUAGCUAUGUGUGGACGGGAUAAGUGCUGAAAGCAUCUAAGCAUGAAGCCCCCCUCAAGAUGAGAUUUCCCAACUUCGGUUAUAAGAUC